Maniola jurtina (meadow brown) is the source of this 152-nucleotide long non-coding RNA. RefSeq lists it as uncharacterized. The record is from RefSeq and is a predicted model, not a curated record. The transcript is spliced from 3 exons. Lineage: Eukaryota; Metazoa; Arthropoda; Insecta; Lepidoptera; Nymphalidae.
UAAUGCACGACGACGUUGUCUAUUGCAGCGGUUCCCAAAAGGUGUUCCGCGGAACCCUGAGGUUCCGUGAAAGACCCUCAGGGGUUCCGCGAAAAUUAAAGAUUUCCAUAUUGUAAAUCGUUUCACUUGUGAUAAUAUUAAAUUGACGUAAU